CAGUAGCCGCGGUAAUACGAAGGGUGCAAGCGUUAAUCGGAAUUACUGGGCGUAAAGCGUGCGUAGGCGGUGAGUUAAGUCUGUUGUGAAAUCCCCGGGCUCAACCUGGGAAUGGCAAUGGAUACUGGCAAGCUAGAGUGUGUCAGAGGAUGGUGGAAUUCCCGGUGUAGCGGUGAAAUGCGUAGAGAUCGGGAGGAACAUCAGUGGCGAAGGCGGCCAUCUGGGACAACACUGACGCUGAGGCACGAAAGCGUGGGGAGCAAACAGGAUUAGAUACCCGAGUAGUCCCUGUCUCUUAUAA
Molecule: ribosomal RNA, 301 nt
Filed under: uncultured bacterium
Lineage: Bacteria
Description: partial 16S ribosomal RNA
Rfam family: Bacterial small subunit ribosomal RNA
Source: RNAcentral